AGGUGUUGAGACUGGUAGGUAAAUCCGCCAGUUGAGCUGAGGUGGGAGCGAGCUGCAAUAAGCGAAGUGGCUGAGCCUUGUUGCCCAGAAAAGUCUCUAAGCAUAACUCUUUAGUGCUCGUACCGCAAACCGACACUGGUAGAUGGGUAGAGUAUACCAAGGCGAUCGGGAGAACCUUCGUUAAGGAAUUAGGCAACAUGACCCCGUAACUUCGGGAGAAGGGGUACCCUCCUUAGUGUUAAAGCUUCGGAGGGUCGCAGUGAAAUGGCUCUGGUGACUGGUUAACAAAACCACAGGUCUCUGCUAAGCCGUAAGGCGAUGUAUAGGGGCUGACGCCUGCCCAGUGCCGGAAGGUUAAAGGGAGAGGUUAGCGCAAGCGAAGCUUUGAACUGAAGCCCCGGUGAACGGCGGCCGUAACUAUAACGGUCCUAAGGUAGCGAAAUUCCUUGUCGGGUAAGUUCCGACCCGCACGAAAGGUGUAACAACUAGAACAGUGUCUCGACGAAGGACCCGGUGAAAUUGAAAUGGCUGUGAAGAUGCGGCCUACCCGCAGCAGGACAAAAAGACCCCGUGGAGCUUUACUGCAACUUGGCAUUGUAUUUGGACAUAAUCUGUGUAGCAUAGGUGGGAGGCUUUGAAGCUGGCGCGUCAGCGUCGGUGGAGCCACUAGUGAAAUACCACCCUGAUUAUGUUUAGAUCCUAACCCCAUUCCGUCAUCCGGAUGGGGGACCGUGCCAGGUGGGCAGUUUGACUGGGGCGGUCGCCUCCCAAAAGGUAACGGAGGCGCCCAAAGGUUCCCUCAGGUGGAAUGGAAACCCACCAUAGAGUGUAAAGGCAUAAGGGAGCUUGACUGUAAGGCCAACGCGCCGAACAGAGACGAAAGUCGGGCUUAGUGAUCCCACGGUACCGAGUGGAAGGGCCGUGGCUUACCGGAUAAAAGCUACCCCGGGGAUAACAGGCUGGUGAGAUCCAAGAGUUCACAUCGACGAUCUCGCUCGGCACCUCGAUGUCGGCUCAUCGCAUCCUGGGGCUGGACAAGGUCCCAAGGGUCGGGCUGUUCGCCCGUUAAAGCGGUACGCGAGCUGGGUUCAGACCGUCGUGAGACAGGUCGGUCUCUAUCCGCUGUGGGCGUAAGGGAUUUGAAGGGAGCUGCUCCUAGUACGAGAGGACCGGAGUGGACAGACCUCUAGUGUGCCAGUUGUUCCGCCAGGAGCAUCGCUGGGUAGCCAUGUCUGGCAGAGAUAACCGCUGAAAGCAUCUAAGUGGGAAACUCGCCCUAAGAUUAGAUCCCUGUAUUCCCGUAAGGGAGUAAGACCCCAGGUAGACUACCUGGUAUAUAGGCAGGGUGUGUAAGCACAGUAAUGUGUUCAGCUAACCUGUACUAAUGGUCGAGGGCUUCAUCCU
Molecule: ribosomal RNA, 1404 nt
Filed under: activated sludge metagenome
Description: bacterial LSU rRNA
Rfam family: Bacterial large subunit ribosomal RNA
Source: RNAcentral